CUAUGCGCCUUGCCAGCCCGCUCAGGUGUGCCAGCAGCCGCGGUAAUACGUAGGUGGCUAAGCGUUAUCCGGAUUUAUUGGGUGUAAAGGGCGUGUAGGCGGGAAUGCAAGUCAGAUGUGAAACUAUGGGCUCAACCCCGAACUGCAUUUGAAACUGUUGGUCUUGAGUAUCGGAGAGGCAGGCGGAAUUCCUAGUGUAGCGGUGAAAUGCGUAGAUAUUAGGAGGAACACCAGUGGCGAAGGCGGCCUGCUGGACUGUAACUGACGUUGAGGCUCGAAAGCGUGGGGAGCAAACAGG
Molecule: ribosomal RNA, 298 nt
Filed under: uncultured bacterium
Lineage: Bacteria
Description: partial 16S ribosomal RNA
Rfam family: Bacterial small subunit ribosomal RNA
Source: RNAcentral